This 429-nucleotide ribosomal RNA is filed under the name uncultured eukaryote. RNAcentral's name for it is "bacterial SSU rRNA". It matches the Rfam family "Eukaryotic small subunit ribosomal RNA", at positions 592 to 1017 of the family's 1831-position model. The record is from RNAcentral.
CAGUAGCGUAUAUUAAAGUUGUUGCAGUUAAAAAGCUCGUAGUUGGAUUUCUGAUAGUAGCGUUGGGCCGCCGGUCAGCCGGUGUGAGUGCCUGUUCGCUCCUUUCAUCCUUCUAGAGAACGGUUCUCUCCUUCAUUGGCAGUGGGAUCGCAAUCUAGAUCUUUUACUUUGAAAAAAUUAGAGUAGUUUAAAGCAGGCUUGUGCUAUGAAUACAUUAGCAUGGAAUAAUAAUUUAGGACUUUAGUUCUAUUUUGUUGGUUUCUAGAACUGAAGUAAUGAUUGAUAGGGAUAGUUGGGGUGGCUAGUAUUCAGCGGCCAGAGGUGAAAUUCUUGGAUUUGUUAAAGACGGACUACUGCGAAAAGCAUUUGCCAAGGAUGUUUUUCAUUGACAAGAACGAAAGUUAGGGGAUCGAAGAUGAUUAGAUACCG